GGUCGCGAGAGGCGUUGGGAUCGCGGGCGCUGCCUGAGCCAGCGGCUGCUGGGAGGCAGUGUCCGCACGCCUACAAGGGGAGGCGGCCGGGCCCUGCGCCUCAAGUCCUGGCCUGGGGCACCGGGGCGGCAGGUGUGGGAGGCUGUGCGGGCGGCGGGUUGGCGGUUUGUCCAAUUGGGGCCUGCGCGGACCGCCCGCGGCGCAGCCUCCUGCCUCUCUCCAUCUCUAAGUGGUAGUGGCUGUAGGUUUUUCUGCAGGUGAUCCUUUUGAGUAAUUUGUUUCAGGCAGGCGCCCUGCUGUUGGGUAAAGCGGCAGAUUCAUGCUGCUGUCACUUGCCGUUCAAACGAUGGGCUUCGUGGCCGGGCGCGGUGGCUCAAGCCUGUAAUCCCAGCACUUUGGGAGGCCGAGACGGGCGGAUCACGAGAUCAGGAGAUCGAGAUCAUCCUGGCUAACAAGGCCUGAGACCUGGGAGGAAGCUGGAGAAAAGAUGCCCUCUGAAUCUUUGUGUUUGGCUGCCCAGGCUCGCCUCGACACCGAAUGGUUGAAAACAGAUAUACAGUCUCGCCCUGUCGCCAAGGCUGGAGUACAGUGGCAUGAUCUCGGCUCACUGCAACCUCCGCCUCAGCUUCUCCUGCCUCAGCUUCCCGAGUAGCCGGUAUUACAGGCGCCUGCCACCACACCUGGCUAAUUUUUGUAUUUUUAGUAGAGACGGGGUUUCACCAUGUUGGCCAGGCUGGUCUUGAACUCCUGACCUUGUGAUCCGCCCGCCUCAGCCUUCCAAAGCGCUGGGAUUACAGAUGAUAGUGUCGAGCAAAGUGGAACAAAGAAAGAAGAUCUGGAUGACAGAGAGAAAAAAGAUGAAGAAACUCCUGCACCUGUAUAUAGUGCCAAGUCAAUUCUGGACAGCUGGGUAUGGGGCAAGCAACCAGAUGUGAAUGAACUGAAGGAGUGUCUUUCUGUGCUGGUUAAAGAGCAGCAGGCCCUGGCCAUCCAGUCAGCCACCACCGCUCUCUCAACCCUGUGACUCAAGCAGAGGCUGGUAAUCUUGGAGCACUGUUUCAUUGCCUUGAACCAUUUUUCAGGAGAAUGUCAAAGUUAAGUGGAAAAGCAGCAUCAUUUCCCUGCCUCCUGUGGACAAAAAAAGGUAAUAUAAAGCGAAGAAAGAAUCCUAAUGGGCCGGGCGCAGUGGCUCACGCCUGUAAUCCCAGCACUUUGGGAGGCCAAGGCUGGUGGAUCACGAGGUCAGGAGAUCGAGACUAUCCUGGCUAACACGGUGAAACCCUGUCUCUACUAAAAAUACAAAAAAAAUUAGCCAGGCAUGGUGGUGGGUGCCUGUAGUCCCAGCUACUUGGGAGGCUGAGGCAGGAGAAUGGCGUGAACCCGGGAGGGAGAGCUUGCAGUGAGCUGAGAUCCGUGUUACUGCACUCCAGCCUGGGCGGCAGAGUGAGACUCCGUCUCAAAAAAAAAAAAAGAAUCGUAAUGCCAGUUAAAUAUAAAAUUCAGACUGUUUUGUUUCAGAAAGUUUAAUUAAGAUUUUCAGUAUAGUGUCUGUCUUCACCUUCUGAAAUUUAUUCUUGCUUUCCCUUUUUGUAUGUUUUAUGUAAUCUGGAGAAUGGAUUUGCCAAUUUGCUCAUGUAGUAACAGACCAUACUAUGUAAUCUCUGUCAUUAUUUAUUUUAUUCAAUUAAAUUUUUUUGUUUCUUUUUUUUUCCUUUCUUUUUUUUUUUCGAGAGGCAACGUCUUGCACUGUCACCCAGGCUGGGGUGCAGUGGUGUAAUCAUAGCUCAUUCUAACCUUGAAAUCCGGGUCUCUAGUGAUCCUCCUGCCUCAGCCACCUGAGUAGCCGGGACUACAGGCACAUGCAACCAUGCCUGGCUAAAUAAAAAUAAUUUGGGUGUGUGUGUGUGUGCAUGGGGAUGUGGUCUUGCUCCUGGCCUCAAGCAAUCUUCCUGCUUCAACCGCUCAGAGUACUGGGAUUAUAGACGUGAGACACUGCGCCUGGCUCUGUGUCAUUAUUUUAAAGACGUUUUUCUGUCAGUAACUGUGGAAGCCAGCCAAAGCUUUAGAUCAGCUCAAGUAUAAAUUGGAAAAUGAGUUCUGAACAUUGUGUACAUUUUAUUUUGUUUUGCUGCUGGGUAAGGAGAUAGAUUGUAAUGUUUAGUGCCCAUCUAGUUUAGAUGCUUCAUGUUUUUCCUUCCUAAUGUGAUUUUCUUAUUCUUUUAUUACAAGAGAUGCUUUUGGGCCGGGCACGGUGGCUCACGCCUGUAAUCCCAGCACUCUGGGAGGCCGAGGCGGGUGGAUCACCUGAGGUCAGGAGUUCGAGAUCUGACCAACAUGGAGAAACCCCGUCUCUACUAAAAAUAAAAAAAUUAGCCAGGGCGUGGUGGCUCAUGCCUGUAAUCCCAGCUACUCGGGAGGCUGAGGUAGGAGAAUUGCUUGAACUGGGGAGGUGGAGGUUGCGGUGAGUGGAGAUCGUGCCGUUGGACUCCAGCCUGGGCAACAAGAAUGAAGCCCUGUCUCAAAAAGAAAAAAAAAAAAAGUGGGGAUGCUUUUGGGCAUAUGAGUUUUAAUUUGUUGACGCCUGAUAAUAUAUUACAGAUUUCCUCUAUUUGCUAACAGGCACUAGAAUGUUUAAAGCUUAUGUAAAAUUGUACUUUUCCAAAAUGAAGCUGUCUAUCAGACUUUUGUCCUCAGAAGGUUAAACUACAAGAUUGCCAGAUGAAACUAUAUUUUGUGUAGUUAGGAGUGUUGGCUUUAUUUGACUGUGAUAGUGACUUUGACUCCCUGGAGAGCACAUAGAAGGUACAGGAGGCAGGAAGAAACAAGAGCAAAACCCUGAUCGUCUUGCUUCCCAGAGACAGGAGCAAUACUUGUAGCCUGUUUCCUUGUUUUCUUACGUUUUAAUUUUUGUGUUUGUUUUCCUUUUUUGUUUCCUUAUGUUUAAAUAUAGUUGAAAUCACAUUACAGUUGGCUCUCUGUCUGUAUCUGUGGGUUUCACAUCCACAGAUUCAACUAACUGUGGAUCGAAAAUAUUGGAAGAAAAGCCAUAAAAAACAACACAACAAUUAAAAAAUACAAACAACAAUACAAUAUAACAACUAAUUACAGAGCAUUUACCUUGUAGUAGGUGUUAAUCUAGAGAUGAUUUUGUUUGUUUGUUUGUUUGGACAUGGGGGUCUCACUGUUACCCAGGCCAGUGGGGCUAUCAUGGCUCCCUGCAGCCUUGACCUCCUGGGCUCAAGUGAUUCUCCCACCUCAGCCUCCCAAGUAGCUGGGACUGCAGGCGUGUGCCACAAUGCCUGGCUAAUUUUUGUAUUUUUUGUAGAGCCGGGGUCUCACUGUGUUGCCCAGGCUGGCCUCUAACUCCUGGCCUCAAGUGGUCUGCCUGCCUUGGCCUCCCAAAGUGCUGGGAUUACGAGCAUGAGCCACCACACCUGGCCAAUUUUUUUUUUCUUUAAUUUGUAUAGAUGGGGUAUUGCCAUGUUGCCCGGGCUGGUCUUGAACCCCUGGGCUCAAGUGACCCUCCUGCCUCGACAUCCCAAAGUGUUGGGAUUAUAGGUGUGAGCCACUGUGCCUGGCUGAGAUCAUUUAAAUUAUACAGGAGGAUGUGCACAGGUUAUAUGCAAAUACUACACCAUUUUAUAUCAGGGUCUUGAGCAUCCUAGGGUUUUGGUAUGGAGCCAGGGGUGGGGCAGGCCUGGUACCAAUCCCCUGCAGAUACCAAGGGAUGACUGUACGUUUUGUAUUUUUGAAAAUAGUUUUAGAGUAAAUUAAACCAAGAGACAGAUGAGAGUCCUACCCAUUUGGUAAUAGGAGUGCCAUCAGGAAGGUUCUUUCCUUCCUUCCUGACCGGCUGUGAUGGUCAUGAAUCAGAGUGUUAUGUACAGGUGGGCGGUAGGUGCUAAGAUUGUCCAAGCACUGUUGUGUGUUUGUCGAAUCAAACUGAAUUCCCUCAGCUGCAGAAAUGGCUGAGAGCCCAGCUGAUUUUUCUCUGUGCUGUUUCCUUUGUGAUGACAUAGGGUUGAUGGAUUAAUUGGAAUAUAGCUUUCAUUAAUUGGAAGAAUUCCUAAAAUUUAAAAAAAGCCUCUUUUUGAGAUAAUUGUGGAUUCACAUACAGUUGUAAGAAAUAGUAUAGAGAUUCUUUUACUGUUCGCCCCAUUGCCCUCAAUGGUAGCUAGUUGCAAACUAUGACACAGUCAUCAGAACUAGGGUGUUUACUUUGAUAGUCUGCCUAUCUUAUUCAGAUUUUCCCAGUUUUACAUGCUCUCAAUUGUAUGUGUAUUUCUUUGCAGUUUUUUCAUGUGUGGAUUUUCUGAGACCUCCACUGCAAUCAGGGUACAUAGACAAGGGCCCUUUAUACCCACAUUCACAUCUUCUCUCCCCACCCUACCUGCUGGCAACCACUCAUCUGUUCUCUGUGUCUAUUAUGUGAUUUUUUGACAUUGGCUUUUUAAUUUUUUAUUAUCGUUAUUACUGUAAUUUUUGGAGACAGAGUCUCACCCUGAUGCCCAAGCUGGAGUGCAGUGAUACAAUCAUAGCUCACUGCAGCCUCAGACUCCUGGGCUCAAGCAGUCCUCUCAUUUCAGCUUCCUGAGUAGCUGGUACCACAGAUGCAUGACACCACACCCAGCUCAUUUUGUAUUUGUAGAGACUGGGGUCUUGUUAUGUUUCCCAGGCUUGUCUUGAACUCCUGGCCUCAAGCAAGAUUGACUUUUUUCACUUAGCAUAAUCCCCUUGACAUUUUCCCAAGGAGGUCGUUGCAUGUAUCAUUAUUGCUGAGUAGUGAUUUUUUUUUUUUUUUUUUUUUUGGAGACAGUCUUGCUUUGUUGCCCAGGCCAGGCUGGAGUGCAGUGGUGCGAUCUUGGCUCACUGCAGCCUCCACCUCCCAGGUUCAAGCAAUUCUGCCACAGCCUCCCAAGUAGCUGGGACUACAGGCAUGCACCACCAUGCCUGGCUAAUUUUUGUAUUUUUAGUAGAGACGGGGUUUUGCCAUGCUGGCCAAGCUGGUCUCAAACUCCUGACCUGAAGUGACUCACCAACCUCCUCUGACCACACUUGGCCCAUGUGCUUUCUCUUGUAAGGACUGUGUGUCCUGUUACAUGUCUGUGUCUUCUCAUGUUCAUAUUUCUCAUUUAGGAUUCAGGAGCAAAGAUUUCCGUCUUCCAGGUACCCAGUGCCCUUCUCAGAGGUUCUCGUGUUUCCUCUCUGAGCUCCCGGUGCAUUAUUCAGGCACUUGUGGAUAAGCGUGUACCGUUGCCCUGGCCAGCCGUGUUCUUCUUUGCCAUUUUUAUUACACAUCGUAUCUUGGGGAGAUCCUUCCAUAACAUCCCUGUUUGUUGUUUUUUUGUUUUUUGAGAUGGAGUCUCGCUCUGCCUCCCAGGCUGGAGUGCAGUGGUGCAAUCUUGGCUCACUGCAGCCUCCGCCUCCCAGGUUCAAGUGAUUCGCCUGCCUCAGCCUCUGAGUAGCUGGGAUUACAGGCAUGCCACCACCACACCUGGCUACUUUUUAUAUUUUUAGUGGAGACAGGGUUUCGUCCUUUUGGCCAGGCUGGUCUUGAACUCCGUAUCACCUGUUUUUAUAGCGUAUCCCCUGAUCAUGAAAGCAAAUUUUAGUAAAUUUGGAGAAUAUAGUCUAUAGUAGCAAUACUGUAAUAUACAUAUAUUACAAAUAUGAUAUAGUAUAAAGUAUAAAACAAAAUUACUUUCUAUGCAUGAUUGAGUUGAGAUUAUGCCUUUUUGUAUUCUAGCCUUUUCUCUCUUGUACAGGAUGAUUUUUAUGGUGUACCAUUGCAUAACCUUUUACUACAUGCGGAAUGAAACUGUGACUUGUGAAAUUAACAUACACAAGUAGUGAAGAGCUUAAAAACACACAGGAGGGUGAUGAGCACCACCCUCAGAACAGGGCAACUCCCCACGGGCUGGGUCAAGCACACAGGGCUUCACCCAUGGCCAGGAGCAGACCCCGAGUGGAGGACGUCGGAGCUGGGGCGAGCCAGGCUACCCCGUGCGGCUCUGCUGCUCUUCUUCCAGCUCCUCUCUGGCCUGGUCUCCCAUGUGGGGUUUAUUCUCCCUCUGUUUAUGUAUUUAUCUGUUUAUCGUCUGCUUCCUCCCACUAGAAUCUCACUUUGGGAGGUCAUUUCAUGAGCAUUUUCCCAAGACAUUUAAAAUUCCUUAUACAUUUCUUUGAUUCUUAAAGAGAAAACUUUUCCUUUACAAAAGACAUUUGAUGAAAGUUGUUAAACAACAAAACGAAAAAUCCACUUGUGAUCCUGUCACUUGAAGAAAACCAUUGGUCGGAUUUUGGUACACACCCUUUCGUAGUAUUGAUUUUAUGUAGUAUCUGCACCCUCUGCUGCUAACUGGUUGUAUGUUCCGUGUGUGUCAUCUGCAGUUCCCGGCCUCUGAGGAAAGGUGUGGAGGGGCUCGCCAGAGUGGGAUCCCGAGCGGCGCUGUCUUUCGCCUUCGCCUUCCUGCGCAGGGCUUGGCGAUCGGGUACGGUCCCUGGUGUGGCACAUUGUUCUGCUUCCCUAACCCAUCAACAGACUGGGUUUCGAGCUCGGUUCAGCCACCAUGUGCCCUUCGGCUGAUCCCAUGUGCUCUCUGUGCCUCAGUUUCCUUGCUUGUGAGAUGAGAGGCUGCAGAGGCUGUUUGCCUUUUCACGUCUGUGCUUUAAAGAAAAAAAAAGAGAGUGCAUGCACCCUCACCCCCACGUCAAUCACUACCAUGGAACACCUGAGUACAGACUUAAUUCUAGAAGGACAAGAAGUUAGUGUAUUGCUCAUGUGACAGCCGUGAAACACAGAAUUGACUGGAACAGCUGCGCUAGAUUUUGGCCUGUUGAGUGAGGGAUUGGAAAGGUGACAGUGGCGUUGGCUCUCGCUGAGGGGUGGGAAGCCCAGCGGGAGAGUGAGGGGAGUGGGCGGGCUCCUCUGACGCGUGUGUGCACCCAGGCGAGGAUGCGGACCUCUGCAGUGAGCUGUUGCAGGAGUCCCUGGACGCCCUGCGAGCACUUCCCGAGGCCUCGCUCUUCGACGAGAGCACCAUGGCCUCUGUGUGGCUGGAGGUGGUGGAAAGAGCGACCAGGUUCCUCAGGUCCGUCGUGACGGGGGAUGUUCACGGAACACCAGGCACCAAAGGGCCAGAAGCGUCCGCCUGCAGGACCAGCACUUGGCCCUUGGCUAUCCUGCUGUUGGUGGCUGUGCAGAGAGGCACGCUGAGCCUCCCAAUGUUGUCUGCCAUCCUGUUAUUGCUUCAGCUGUGGGACAGUGGGGCACAGGAGACUGACAAUGAGCGUUCUGCCUAAGGCACCAGUGCCCCACUUUUGCCCUUGCUGCAAAGGUUCCAGAGCAUCAUUUGCAGGAAGGAUACACCCCACUCCGAGGGCGACAUGCACCUUUUGUCUGGUCCUCUGAGCCCCAGUGAGAGUUUCCUGAGGUACCUCACCCUUCCACAAGACAACGAGCUUGCCAUUGAUCUGCGACAAACGGCGGUUGUUGUCAUGGCCCAUUUAGACCGUCUGGCUACGCCCUGUAUGCCUCCGCUGUGUAGCUCUCCGACAUCUCAUAAGGGAUCAUUGCAAGAGGUCAAAGGUUGGGGGUUAAUAGGAUGGAAAUACUAUGCCAAUGUGAUUGGUCCAAUCCAGUGCAAAGGCCUGGCCAACCUGGGAGUCACACAGAUUGCCUGUGCAGAAAAGCGCUUGCUGAUUGUAACGCAAUGGCCGCGUGUAAACACAGGCCUACAAUAGUGACACACUGGUCCCACAGCUGGUCCAAGGCCUCGCCUCCAGAAACGUUGUAAAAAUUGCUGCCCAUUCUGAUGGUCACCAUUACCUAGCCUUGGCUGCCACUGGAGAGGUGUACUCCUGGGGCUGUGGGGAUGGCAGACGACUGGGCCACGGGGACACUGUGGAUGUAUCGCUCAUUCCUGUAGGGGACACACUCUCCUUUUAUGUUGCUAUAUCCUAAACAGGAUGGAGUGCAGAAGUGUGUCCAGGCCUCUGGAGGAGCCUAAGGUGAUCUCUGCCUUCUCUGGAAAGCAGGCCGGGAAGCACGUGGUGCACAUCGCUUGCGGGAGCACUUACAGUGCGGCCAUCACUGCCGAGGGGGAGCUGUACACCUGGGGCCGUGGGAACUACGGCCGGCUGGGCCACGGCUCCAGUGAGGACGAGGCCAUUCUGAUGCUGGUAGCUGGGCUUAAAGGACUGAAGGUCAUCAAUGUGGCACGUGGGAGUGGGGAUGCUCAAACCCUGGCUGCCACUGAGAAUGGACAAGUGUGGUCUUGGGGAGAUGGUGACUAUGGGAAAUUGGGCAGAGGUGGUAGUGAUGGCUGCAAAACCCCAAAGCUGAUUGAAAAGCUUCAAGACUUGGAUGUGGUCAAAGUCUGCUGUGGGAGUCAGUUUUCCAUUGCUUUGAUGAAAAGUGGCCAAGUUUAUUCAUGGGGAAAAGGUGACAACCAGAGACUUGGACACGGAACAGAGGAACAUAUUUGUUAUCCAAAACUCUUAGAAGGCUUGCAAGGGAAGAAGGUGAUUGAUGUGGCUGCAGGCUCCACCCACUGCCUGGCUCUGACUGAGGACAGCGAGGUCCACAGCUGGGGGAGCAACGACCAGUGCCAGCACUUUGACACCUUGCGCGUGACCAAGCCAGAACCUGCAGCAUUGCCAGGACUGGACACCAAACACAUAGUGGGAAUUGCCUGUGGGCCUGCCCGGAGCUUUGCUUGGUCAUCGUGUUCUGAGUGGUCCAUUGGCCUCCGUGUCCCUUUUGGGGUGGAUAUUUGCUCAGUGACUUUUGAGCAGCUGGAUCUCCUGCUUCGGCAAGUGAGUGAGGGGAUGGAUGGCUCCGCGGACUGGCCCCCGCCCCAGGAGAAAGAGCACGUGGCUGUGGCAGCGCUGAAUCUUCCCCGACUUCAGUUGCAUGCUGCCAUUAGUCACCAGGUUGACCUGGAAUUCCUUGGUUUAGGUCUGGGCAGCGUCUUCCUGAACAGCCUGAAGCAGACAGUGGUGACCCUGGCAAGCAGCGCAGACGUGCUGAGCAUGGUGCAGUCGGCCUCCCAGGCCAUGCUGCAGAGCGGCUGGUCCAUGCUGUUGCCCACCGCCGAGAAGCAGGCCCAGGCACUCUGCUCUCCUGCCCUGCGGAGUUUCAGGCAAUGAAGUGAACAUAAGUCCAGGUCAUCGAUUGGUGAUUGAUCUUCUGGUGGGCAGCUUGAUGGCUGCUGGAGGGUUGGAGUCAGCCUUAUACGCAGCCAUUACUGCAGAGAUCCAGGAUACAAAAAAAGAAGCAUGGAAGGAAAAAGAAAUUGAUGAACAGGAAGCGAAUGCCUCAACAUUUCAUAGAAGGAGGACUCCAUUGGAUAAAGACCUUAUUAAUACGGGGAUCUGUGAGUCUUCUGGCAAACAGUGUUUGCCUCUGGUUCAGCUCAUACAACAGCUUCUUAGGUAAAUCAUAUUAGCUGUAUUGUAUUGUGUUUUAUUUAUUUACUUUUUUUUUUUUUUGAGACAGAGUCUCGCUCUUGUUGCCCAGGCCGGAGUGCAGUGGUGCGAUCUUGACUCACUGCAACCUCCGUCUCCCAGGUUCAAGUAAUUCCUCUGCCUCAGCCUCUCGAGCAGCUGGGAUUACAGGCAUGCGCCACCAUGCUCCACUAAUUUUGUAGUUUUAUUAGAGACGGGGUUUCUUCAUGUUGGUCAGGCCAGUCUUGAACUCCCGACCUCAGGUGGUCCAUCCACUUUGGCCUCCCAAAAUGUUGGGAUUACAGGCAUUAGCCACCACUCCUGGCCUAUUUAUUUACUUAUUAAUGGUGUUUUUUUUUUUUUUUUUUUUUUUUUUUUUUUUUUUUUUGAGGUGGAGUCUUGCUCUAUCGUCCAGGCUGGAGUGCAGUGUCACGAUCUUGGCUCACUGCAACCCCCGCCUCCUGGGUUCAAGCUAUUAUCCUGCCUCAGCCUCCCGAGUAGCUGGGACGACAGGCGUCUGCAACCACACCUGGCUGAUUUUUGUAUUUUUAGUAGAGAUGAGGUUUUACCAUACUGGUCAGGCUGGUCUCAAAUUCCUGACGUCAGGUGACCCACCUGCCUUGGCCUCUCAAAAUGUUGGGAUUACAGGUGUUAGCCACUGUGCCUGGCCUGUAUUGUAUUUUAAUAGGUGAUUAUUGGUUUUCAUAUUAAGAUAGUGAAAUCUAGCACAAGGAUCUCAAAAAUUUGUUUGGUGAGUGAAGGAAUAUUCUGAAAAUUACCUAGUAUAGAUGUUAGGAUAAAGAGCAGACCCUUCUCAAUAUAGGUGAGAGGAGAAGUUGGAGGGUAUGAUGAUACUCAGAAGUUUUUCACAGAAGAGAAAUUGGGUGUGCAGUAAACAUGUAAAAAGAUUCUUACUAAUAAGCAGGUAGGUGCAAAUGAAAAUCAUCAUGGAAGGUUAUUUUUAAAACUGAUUGUAUCAUUGCCUCACCUUAUAUAUUACAGAGUUAUACAUACUACUUUGUAAGAUAACUUUUCUUUUCAAAACUGAAGUCAAUGUGAUAGAAUGGUGAGCAUUAUUUUGGAAGGCCAGACUAGGAGGAGGUGGGAGGAAGAAGUCAGACUCAGCCUGUGAACAGAGGCUAACCUUGGCAGAAGCCAAAACAGUCAGACAGUGUUGUCUAAAAAUGAUCAUUCAAGAAGAGUGAAACAGCAAAGUGAUUUGUGAAAGAGAUUUAUUAGAAAAUGAAACACAUUUACACCUCUGUUCAAUAAAAAUCUGCUUUUUGUCAA
Gorilla gorilla gorilla (western lowland gorilla) is the source of this 10737-nucleotide RNA transcript. It is a transcript of the gene named E3 ubiquitin-protein ligase HERC2, with no coding region annotated. The transcript has 18 exons. The record is from RefSeq and is a predicted model, not a curated record. NCBI's taxonomy places the organism in Eukaryota, Metazoa, Chordata, Mammalia, Primates, Hominidae.